This is a long non-coding RNA of Triticum aestivum (bread wheat), 1373 nucleotides long. RefSeq lists it as uncharacterized. The transcript has 3 exons. NCBI's taxonomy places the organism in Eukaryota, Viridiplantae, Streptophyta, Magnoliopsida, Poales, Poaceae. The record is from RefSeq and is a predicted model, not a curated record.
GCGCGUUCCUCCUCUCUGUUGCUGCCAACCUAGUAGCAGCCCACCCUGCCGCCACCCCGCCGCCGGCCGGCUGGCCGCCGCGCCGUCGCCAGUCUCCGCCGCUGAUCCCUCGCAUCUCGGCCGACGCCGUGGACCGACGCCCUCCUCGCCCUCCUAGCUCAAGUCUAUUUAUAGAGAAGUGUUAAGUAUGGCUGCCGAAUGGACUGAUGAGAACACCCGGAUCAUCGUCGAGUUGUUUGUCAAACAAUUGUGGGCUGGAAAUAUGCCAAACACUCAUUUGACACCCAAUGCAUAUGACGAUGUGGGAAAGGAGUUCCUGAUGAGAACUGGACUUGAGUACACGCAUAAGCAAGUGAGAAACAAAUGGGACAAGUUAAAACGUGAGUACAACCUAUUCAAGCAGCUCAAGCACCGCGAGACGGGUGGGGGUGGGACUUUGAGAAAAACACGGUGAAACAAGAUAAUGAGUGGUGGAAGAAGGCAAAAGUUGACCUCCCAGGUUGUGGCAAGUUCAAGAAGCAUGGACUUCGUAAUGAAGAAGGCUUGCGCCUAUUGUUUGAGGAUAUCAGUGUCGAUGGUAGUGACCAUUGGAACCCCGCAUCUGGCAUGCCUCCCCCCUCUAGUGCAGCAUUAAAAGACGCCUUGAAUGUCGAUGGAAUCACUGGUCUGGAUUUGGAGGAUGAUACCGAGGAGCAAGCAUCUCCGACAAUAGCUAGUGGAUCUAAAGUGAGGCUUGGGAUCACGAUUUCGGAGAAGAACAAGAGACCGAAGACCGCACAAGUGAUGCAGGAGGAGAUUAGAAAGAUUAGUUCCAUUGCCCAUGCUUCACACACAUCGUUUCAGUCUUUCCUACAGAAAGAUGAGACCACCUCUGUUGCCUCUACGAUGGAUUUAGUUCGUGCUUGCAGCGCAAUAGAAGGCACAGAUGAGCACUUCAUUGCUACUGAGCUCUUUAUAAAGAGGGAGCAAAGGGAGAUGUUCCUGCACAUGACAGCUGACUCUCAAAAGGGUUGGUUGCGUAGGAGGUUUGACCUCAAGUAUGGGAACUAGUUUGUUCCAUCUUAUCUAUUGAUAAUAUUUGCUUAUGUUCUAUGCUAUCGAACAAUAUUUAUGCCUAUGUGUUGGCGAACCUAGUAUUAUGUUGUGCUAUCGGAACAAUAUUCAUGCCUAUGUGUUGGCGAACCUAGUAUUAUUUGUGCUAUCGGAAAAAUAUUCAUGCCUAUGUAUUGGUGAACCUAUUAUUUUGUUGUGCAUUGGGAAAAUAUUUAUGCCUAUGUUGGUGAACCUACUAUUUUGUUGUGCCUUGGGAAAAUAUUUAUGCACAUGUUGAUGAAUCCAUUAUUAUGUUGAUGCUAACUAUUGUUUGCUAUGGC